RNAcentral lists this ribosomal RNA (620 nucleotides) under Fusarium solani. RNAcentral describes it as "eukaryotic LSU rRNA". It matches the Rfam family "Eukaryotic large subunit ribosomal RNA", at positions 1 to 643 of the family's 3401-position model. Lineage: Eukaryota; Fungi; Ascomycota; Sordariomycetes; Hypocreales; Nectriaceae. The record is from RNAcentral.
UUGACCUCGAAUCAGGUAGGAAUACCCGCUGAACUUAAGCAUAUCAAUAAGCGGAGGAAAAGAAACCAACAGGGAUUGCCCCAGUAACGGCGAGUGAAGCGGCAACAGCUCAAAUUUGAAAUCUGGCUCUCGGGCCCGAGUUGUAAUUUGUAGAGGAUGCUUUUGGUGAGGUGCCUUCCGAGUUCCCUGGAACGGGACGCCAUAGAGGGUGAGAGCCCCGUCUGGUUGGACGCCGAACCUCUGUAAAGCUCCUUCGACGAGUCGAGUAGUUUGGGAAUGCUGCUCUAAAUGGGAGGUAUAUGUCUUCUAAAGCUAAAUACCGGCCAGAGACCGAUAGCGCACAAGUAGAGUGAUCGAAAGAUGAAAAGAACUUUGAAAAGAGAGUUAAACAGUACGUGAAAUUGUUGAAAGGGAAGCGCUUGUGACCAGACUUGGGCUUGGUUGAUCAUCCGGGGUUCUCCCCGGUGCACUCUUCCGGCCCAGGCCAGCAUCAGUUCGCCCUGGGGGACAAAGGCUUCGGGAACGUGGCUCUCUCCGGGGAGUGUUAUAGCCCGUUGCGUAAUACCCUGUGGCGGACUGAGGUUCGCGCAUUCGCAAGGAUGCUGGCGUAAUGGUCAUCA